AUGUCUACUAGUCGUUGGGUCCCUUGAGGACUUAGUGACGCAGCUAACGCAAUAAGUAGACCGCCUGGGGAGUACGGCCGCAAGGUUAAAACUCAAAUGAAUUGACGGGGGCCCGCACAAGCGGUGGAGCAUGUGGUUUAAUUCGAUGCAACGCGAAGAACCUUACCUGGUCUUGACAUAUCUAGAAUCCUGCAGAGAUGCGGGAGUGCCUUCGGGAAUUAGAAUACAGGUGCUGCAUGGCUGUCGUCAG
This 250-nucleotide ribosomal RNA is filed under the name uncultured bacterium. Its description in RNAcentral is "partial 16S ribosomal RNA". It matches the Rfam family "Bacterial small subunit ribosomal RNA", at positions 809 to 1058 of the family's 1533-position model. The record is from RNAcentral.